RNAcentral lists this ribosomal RNA (512 nucleotides) under uncultured bacterium. RNAcentral describes it as "partial 16S ribosomal RNA". It matches the Rfam family "Bacterial small subunit ribosomal RNA", at positions 28 to 523 of the family's 1533-position model. The record is from RNAcentral.
GACGAACGCUGGCGGCGUGCCUAAUACAUGCAAGUCGAGCGGAUUGAUGGGAGCUUGCUCCCUGAUAUCAGCGGCGGACGGGUGAGUAACACGUGGGCAACCUGCCUAUAAGACUGGGAUAACUUCGGGAAACCGGAGCUAAUACCGGAUAAUCCCUUUCCUCUCAUGAGGAAAGGCUGAAAGAUGGUUUACGCUAUCACUUAUAGAUGGGCCCGCGGCGCAUUAGCUAGUUGGUGAGGUAACGGCUCACCAAGGCAACGAUGCGUAGCCGACCGGGGAGGGUGAUCGGCCACACUGGGACUGAGACACGGCCCAGACUCCUACGGGAGGCAGCAGUAGGGAAUCUUCCGCAAUGGACGAAAGUCUGACGGAGCAACGCCGCGUGAGUGAUGAAGGUUUUCGGAUCGUAAAACUCUGUUGUUAGGGAAGAACAAGUACGAGAGUAACUGCUCGUACCUUGACGGUACCUAACCAGAAAGCCACGGCUAACUACGUGCCAGCAGCCGCAGUAA